Molecule: ribosomal RNA, 99 nt
Filed under: Dipodomys ordii (Ord's kangaroo rat)
Lineage: Eukaryota; Metazoa; Chordata; Mammalia; Rodentia; Heteromyidae
Source: RNAcentral
ACAUACAAUACCUGAAAUUUCCUGGGUUUGUCUAAGCAAGGUUGGGCCUGGUUGGUACUUGGAUGGGAGACGGCCUAGGAAAAGUGGGUACUGUAAGCU